GUGCACCAGGCGAGAAUCUUCCACAAUGGACGAAAGUCUGAUGGAGCGACGCCGCGUGCGGGAUGAAGGCCUUAUGGGUUGUAAACCGCUGUCAGGGGGGAAGAACAUCGGAAUGAACAAUACUCAUUCCGACUGACGUUACCCCCAGAGGAAGCUCCGGCCAACUCCGUGCCAGCAGCCGCGGUAAUACGGGGGAGCAAGCGUUGUCCGGAAUUAUUGGGCGUAAAGGGCGUGUAGGCGGCGAGGUAAGUCGAAUGUGGAAAUCUCACGGCUCAACCGUGAAACUGCGUUCGAAACUACCCUGCUUGAGUACGGGAGAGGUGUACGGAAUUCCGUGGUGUAGCGGUGGAAUGCGUAGAUAUCA
This 364-nucleotide ribosomal RNA is filed under the name uncultured microorganism. Its description in RNAcentral is "bacterial SSU rRNA". It matches the Rfam family "Bacterial small subunit ribosomal RNA", at positions 346 to 699 of the family's 1533-position model. The record is from RNAcentral.